This 1472-nucleotide long non-coding RNA is filed under the name Sus scrofa (pig). Its description in RNAcentral is "lncRNA (ENSSSCG00000053480.1)". The record is from RNAcentral. Lineage: Eukaryota; Metazoa; Chordata; Mammalia; Artiodactyla; Suidae.
GUUAAAGUGGACACAUGGCUGGAUCACACACACGUCUACACAGCCUCUCCAUCCGGAGUCUGGGAGGAAAAGCGCUUUGUUGGCCGAGAGUGCGCAGGGGCCUGGGCUCUCCUCUGGCUUCCCUCCUCUGGUCCACCGCUGGGUUGGAGAACCCCUUCUUCUGUUGGGAGGGAGGUGUGGACGCGCACGACUUGUGUAUGGACAAGUGCAAAGCUGGAGGAGUGAGAAAACUUUAAUCCUACGGAGGCCGGAGCUCGCAGGUCUGCUCUUCCGCCAAGGGAUGAGCCAGGAUUCCCUGCAGAAGGAGCUGAGCCCUCUCCGGCCGGAGACCACUCCGCUGGCGGAAGCUUGGUUCCCUAAUUCCUUUACCAGGUGCAGCCCUGACUCUCCGAGCUCCACCCUCCCCUGCCCCAGUGUUUGCCCGCAGCCCCAACCGCAGGGAGCUGAUUUACUAGGGAUUCCGAUGGAUGAUCUCUGUUGGCUGGCACCCCAACUUUUCACUCAAGCACCACGAGACUGGAGGGUGAAGGUGACCAGGACUCAGAGCUGGAGGCUUCUGUACAGAACCUGCAUGACAACCCUUCAAGCUAUGGAGUCCUGACUAUGUUCUGGACACUCUUAGAAAAGCAUGAAGGAGGCUGCCCGUGAGUGGGUGAGGGCAGGCUUGUGGAAACACGCUGAAGGAAGAUUCAGCAGGGCCUGUCUGUGCAGGCAGAGCAGGCUCCCCAGGAAGGUCGGGAGGGCUGGCUGGACGCCUGGACCCACUGUACUCCUGACAAGCCUGACAAGAUGUGAGAUGCUCCGUCCAGGCCGCAAGGCUCACACAACUUCCAGCCUGUAGGGCAGAGAAGCUGCUGAUGCACCCAGCCUGGGGCAGAGACCCAGACCUUGCAGUCAGCUAGGCUGAGCUGUGGCCCAGGGACCGGGAAGGUGUGGCUUCCUGGCUGUCCCGGCCCGCCUGGCCCGCCCGUCCAUCCAGAGGUAGCUUCUAGCGCCCAGCUGGCGGUGAAUCCCACCAGCAUUUGCUGAUAAAUAUGAUUUAGGCUACAGCUGUGACCACUGAUCAGUUAUCGUCAUCCUCCUCUGCCAUAUCAUUUGUGGAAAAGAUUCUAUUUUGUGUGUCCCUGCUUGGAUUCAGUUCAGUUGCUCUGCGUCACCCCCACCUGCAGGUGGAAAGCUCUGACUUGCCCUUUCUCUGGUCCUAGGUCCCUGUUGGAUGUGACAGCACCGUGUGGGUGUGUCAGAGCUGAACUCUUGUCUUCGGCCCCCGUGUCUCUCCCAGCCACUCACUCGCCAGGCUUCCAGGGCCAGCUGUCUCAGUAUUCCUUGUUCAGAGUUUUACCUCCUGGGCUGGAUUACAGGUUCCUCGGGAGAGGCUAGACUUCCUAUGUGUUGUCUGUAAUCCUCAGCACAAGACUAAACAUGCAGUUGCACUUGGUAAGCACUUGUGAAUAAAGGAAACAGAGAGGCAG